This 29-nucleotide non-coding RNA is filed under the name Homo sapiens (human). Lineage: Eukaryota; Metazoa; Chordata; Mammalia; Primates; Hominidae. The record is from RNAcentral.
AUUGGUGAACAGCAGAUGUUGCUGCCUGA